This is a long non-coding RNA of Theobroma cacao (cacao), 514 nucleotides long. RefSeq lists it as uncharacterized. Lineage: Eukaryota; Viridiplantae; Streptophyta; Magnoliopsida; Malvales; Malvaceae. The record is from RefSeq and is a predicted model, not a curated record.
UUCCUCCCUUAAACCCCCCAUUCUUUUUUUUUUUUAAUUUCUUCAUAGAAAUUAAAAUAUAAAAGCUACUACAUUUUUUUUAGUUUAACUCUUGUCUUUGUCUUUUGUCUUUCUCUUAACAAAUUUUAGGGUUUAACAUGUGCUCCGCUACAAUGUCUCAAGCAGCCCACAGCGGCCCUGGCGCUUUCCUCAUGCUACUACACUUUACCGGGACAUUGUUUUUGCCCAGAAGGUCCAGAGAUGAUGCAACCGAUGCCUGCUGGAUGGAUAUUGCUCUAUUCUGACAUUAGUUGCAAAAGACUUGCCUUUGUAACGUAUUGUUGGAAAUCAUGGAUUGACAUACAUGAAGUUUGGAAUAGGGAAUGAAGCCAUUGGUCCGUGUAGCAUAGGAUAAAAUUUACUGUAAAUUAUCGAUCUAUUUUGAAAUUAGUUAGAUGACAGAACGAUGCUUCAGCUUUUAUUUGUUCAGUUCUGAUUUUAAUGCCAUUAACUAUUGAUCUGAGAUUUCCUUUUA